UACGAAGGGGGCUAGCGUUGCUCGGAUUGACUGGGCGUAAAGGGCGCGUAGGCGGUUCGUACAGUCAGACGUGAAAUUCCUGGGCUCGACCGUGGAAGUGCAUUCGAAACUGCGAGGCUGGAGUCCUGGAGAGGAAAGUGGAAUACUCGGUGUAGAGGUGAAAUUCGUAGAUAUCGAGUGGAACACCGGUGGCGAAGGCGGCUUUCUGGACAGGUACUGACGCUGAGACGCGAAAGCGUGGGGAGCAAACAGG
Molecule: ribosomal RNA, 253 nt
Filed under: uncultured bacterium
Lineage: Bacteria
Description: partial 16S ribosomal RNA
Rfam family: Bacterial small subunit ribosomal RNA
Source: RNAcentral